UUUCUAAGUCCAGACUGCUUCCCCUCCACUAGCUGGGGAGGGAGAGGCCAUAUGAGUGGAGGGACCUGUGGAGGAAAAAUUAUUAUUACUAUCUUGAUGUCCGCUGAACCAAAGUGGAUGGAAAUUUCUCAGGACAUAUUCAUCCAAACUACAAAAACAGGUCUACUUAAACUUUGAAAGAUGAGAUUGUUCAAAAAUGACACGAGAAAAUCACCCAUCACCACUAGGUUAAAGACUUGAAUAUGUGAGAGCUCCAGAGCCUCAAACUCCUACUACAGUCACUGAUCCAUAACAUUUUCCUCUUGCAAUAGACUCCACGCCAAAGUAGCACAGUCUUGCGGCAUGUUUGUGCACCAAAAAGUAGAUUUCGAAAGAUCCAGCACUAGUCAUCACUGUCACUGCCAGACUCACUCAACUGCAAGUCAUUUCCUAUUUAAAAAAAAAAAAAAAAAAAAGUAAAAUCGUAGAAUCAAACAAAAGUACAGAAUAUAAAAAUGACUUCCUCACAAUUUUUUGUUAAUUGCCUUGGCUAUCACACUACAGUAAAACCUUGUUAAUUCAACUUAGGGAAGAAAAUCAAAUUGGCUCACUGAAACAAAAUGGUGCUUUUGGUUAUCUACAAAGCACAACAAUACUGCAUAUUAGGGUAGAGCAAAGGAGAAGUAAGCUAGAUAACUUUUAAAUGGUUUAAUAAAUAGCAAGAAAAUAUUUAAAAUAUGUCUGGGCGCAGUGGCUCACACCUGUAAUCCCAGCACUUUGGGAGGCCAAGGCAGGGAGAUCAUUUGAGGCCAGGAGUUGGAGACCAGCCUGGCCAACAUGGCAAAACCUCAUCUCUACUAAAAAUACAAAAAUUAGCCAGGUGUGGUGGGACAAGCUUGUAAUCCCAGGUACUUGGGA
This 897-nucleotide non-coding RNA is filed under the name Pongo abelii (Sumatran orangutan). Lineage: Eukaryota; Metazoa; Chordata; Mammalia; Primates; Hominidae. The record is from RNAcentral.